This 62-nucleotide transfer RNA is filed under the name Halocynthia spinosa. RNAcentral's name for it is "transfer RNA-Leu(CUN)". Lineage: Eukaryota; Metazoa; Chordata; Ascidiacea; Stolidobranchia; Pyuridae. The record is from RNAcentral.
GGCUUGAUAGGAUAAUGAAUCUGUUGUUUUUAGGGGGCAAAGAUGCUGUUUGGUUUGGGCUA